This 497-nucleotide ribosomal RNA is filed under the name uncultured bacterium. Its description in RNAcentral is "partial 16S ribosomal RNA". It matches the Rfam family "Bacterial small subunit ribosomal RNA", at positions 28 to 507 of the family's 1533-position model. The record is from RNAcentral.
GAUGAACGCUGGCGGCGUGCCUAAUACAUGCAAGUCGAGCGAACAGACGAGGAGCUUGCUCCUCUGACGUUAGCGGCGGACGGGUGAGUAACACGUGGAUAACCUACCUAUAAGACUGGGAUAACUUCGGGAAACCGGAGCUAAUACCGGAUAAUAUAUUGAACCGCAUGGUUCAAUAGUGAAAGACGGUUUUGCUGUUGCUUAUAGAUGGACCCGCGCCGCAUUAGCUAGUUGGUAAGGUAACGGCUUACCAAGGCAACGAUGCGUAGCCGACCUGAGAGGGUGAGCGGCCACACUGGAACUGAGACACGGUCCAGACUCCUACGGGAGGCAGCAGUAGGGAAUCUUCCGCAAUGGGCGAAAGCCUGACGGAGCAACGCCGCGUGAGUGAUGAAGGUCUUCGGAUCGUAAAACUCUGUUAUUAGGGAAGAACAAAUGUGUAAGUAACUAUGCACGUCUUGACGGUACCUAAUCAGAAAGCCACGGCUAACUACGUG